CAGCCACCAGUUCAGUAUCUGAGAUGUAUAAGAAGAUUAUCGGUAAAGAGAUUUCUGCUAAGAUCAUUCUUACUCAAGGGAACAAAAACGGUGAUAGUAACAUCUACGAGGCAGUGGAACUUUUCGAUAAAACAGUGAAUGAUUCUUCAUCUGGUGAUAAAUAACCGGAGACCAAUCCAAAUUCAUUCUCAAGCUCAGGGAUUGUCCAAGGAAUUGAAUUGUUCCGGACUCCUGGGUCGACUGGAUCUGUUUCAAACAAGAUAAAGACGGAAGAUGAUAUAGUGCAUAUCGGAUAGUUCGCUGUCAACUGUCGAAGGUCACCAGCGCAAUCCGGAUUUCUGUUCCUUUCCUGUCUUUGAAUAAGUUAGAUGAAGUACAAGCGUACUGUUAUUGUGUUGGUAUUCCAACUAUUUUCGUAAUGAUCUUUAAGUCUUAUUGAGCAACAUUUCAGUUUUCCAUCGAUGUAAUGCUUUAAUCCACCAUUUGUCGCACAUUGUUUUCAUUUCUUAUUGCGUG
Long non-coding RNA from Daucus carota subsp. sativus, 516 nucleotides. RefSeq lists it as uncharacterized. The record is from RefSeq and is a predicted model, not a curated record. The transcript has 3 exons. Lineage: Eukaryota; Viridiplantae; Streptophyta; Magnoliopsida; Apiales; Apiaceae.